UGUUUCCAUAGAGCAUACUACUAAAAUUCGAGUGACAACAGAACACUAGCAUGGCCCCUGUGUAAGGUUGAUAAACACAUUCAAGAAGUACUCUAUAUUUUU
This is a small nuclear RNA of Manis javanica (Malayan pangolin), 102 nucleotides long. Lineage: Eukaryota; Metazoa; Chordata; Mammalia; Pholidota; Manidae. The record is from RefSeq and is a predicted model, not a curated record.